ACAAGCGGUGGAGCAUGUGGUUUAAUUCGAUGAUACGCGAGGAACUUACCUGGGCUCGAACGUAAGAUGACUGUAGGUGAAAGCUUACAUCUCUUCGGAGCAUUUUACGAGGUGCUGCAUGGUUGUCGUCAGCUCGUGCCGUGAGGUGUCGGGUUAAGUCCCAUAACGAGCGCAACCCCUACCUUUAGUUGCCAUCAGGUUAAGCUGGGGACUCUAAAGGAACUGCCUACGCAAGUAGUGAGGAAGGCGGGGAUGACGUCAAAUCAGCACGGCCCUUACGUCCAGGGCUACACACGUGCUACAAUGGCCGAUACAGAGGGCAGCUACCUGGUGACAGGAUGCAAAUCUCCAAAGUCGGUCUCAGUUCGGAUCGGAGUCUGCAACCCGACUCCGUGAAGUUGGAUUCGCUAGUAAUCGCGCAUCAGCCAUGGCGCGGUGAAUACGUUCCCGGGCCUU
RNAcentral lists this ribosomal RNA (456 nucleotides) under uncultured Sphingobacteriales bacterium. RNAcentral's name for it is "bacterial SSU rRNA". It matches the Rfam family "Bacterial small subunit ribosomal RNA", at positions 925 to 1382 of the family's 1533-position model. Lineage: Bacteria; Pseudomonadati; Bacteroidota; Sphingobacteriia; Sphingobacteriales. The record is from RNAcentral.